This 779-nucleotide ribosomal RNA is filed under the name uncultured bacterium. Its description in RNAcentral is "bacterial SSU rRNA". It matches the Rfam family "Bacterial small subunit ribosomal RNA", at positions 60 to 842 of the family's 1533-position model. The record is from RNAcentral.
AGUCGACGAAGCAACUGGAGGAAGUUUUCGGAUGGAAUCCGGUUGACUGAGUGGCGGACGGGUGAGUAACGCGUGGAUAACCUGCCUCACACUGGGGGAUAACAGUUAGAAAUGGCUGCUAAUACCGCAUAAGCGUACAGUACCGCAUGGUACGGUGUGAAAAACCCAGGUGGUGUGAGAUGGAUCCGCGUCUGAUUAGCCAGUUGGCGGGGUAACGGCCCACCAAAGCGACGAUCAGUAGCCGACCUGAGAGGGUGACCGGCCACAUUGGGACUGAGACACGGCCCAACCUCCUACGGGAGGCAGCAGUGGGGAAUAUUGCACAAUGGGCGAAAGCCUGAUGCAGCGACGCCGCGUGAGUGAAGAAGUAUCUCGGUAUGUAAAGCUCUAUCAGCAGGGAAGAAAAUGACGGUACCUGACUAAGAAGCCCCGGCUAACUACGUGCCAGCAGCCGCGGUAAUACGUAGGGGGCAAGCGUUAUCCGGAUUUACUGGGUGUAAAGGGAGCGUAGACGGCGACGCAAGUCUGGAGUGAAAGCCCGGGGCCCAACCCCGGGACUGCUUUGGAAACUGUGUUGCUGGAGUGCAGGAGAGGUAAGUGGAAUUCCUAGUGUAGCGGUGAAAUGCGUAGAUAUUAGGAGGAACACCAGUGGCGAAGGCGGCUUACUGGACUGUAACUGACGUUGAGGCUCGAAAGCGUGGGGAGCAAACAGGAUUAGAUACCCUGGUAGUCCACGCCGUANACGAUGAAUGCUAGNUGUCGGGGGGCAAAGCCCUUCG